AAGACAUGAAGUCAGGUCAGCAAACCCGCUGAAUUUAAGCAUAUAAGUAAGCGGAGGAUAAGAAACUAAAUAGGAUUCCCUUAGUAAUGGCGAAUGAACAGGGAUCAGCUCAGGAUGGAAAUUGGGGCCUUUGGCCUUGAAUUGUAAUCUGGAGAUGUACCACCAACUGGGGCGUAGAUGUAAGCCUUUUGGAAAAGAGCAUCAAUGAGGGUGAGAGUCCCGCAUGUCAUCUGCAGUCCCCAGUGCACGGUGUACCUUCUAAGAGUCACGUUCCUCGGGAUUGGAGCGCAAAUUGGGUGGUAAAUUUCAUCUAAAGCUAAAUAUUGCUUCGAGACCGAUAGCAAACAAGUACCAUGAGGGAAAGGUGAAAAGGACUUUGAGAAGAGAGUUAAAAGUGCCUGAAAUUGCUGAAAGGGAAGCGAAUGGAACCAGUGCAGCUUGGCAAGAUUGUUACGUGCCAGUGUGAUUGCUUGCUGCCUCAACGCAAGUGUGGCAGUAGGUCUUGAGCAUGACGCUCGUGGUGCUUCUUGCCUUGUGUGUCAACACCAGUUCACGGCUGAGGAAAACUUCAGGGACAUGGUAGCCUGUCUCCGGGUGGGUGAAUGUGCUUGCUGGAACUCAUCUGUGGUCUGGCUGUUGACUAAAUGGUUCCAUCCGACCCGUCUUGAAACAC
RNAcentral lists this ribosomal RNA (673 nucleotides) under Scrippsiella hangoei. RNAcentral's name for it is "LSU rRNA". It matches the Rfam family "Eukaryotic large subunit ribosomal RNA", at positions 1 to 662 of the family's 3401-position model. The record is from RNAcentral. Lineage: Eukaryota; Dinophyceae; Peridiniales; Peridiniaceae.